RNAcentral lists this small nuclear RNA (28 nucleotides) under Arabidopsis thaliana (thale cress). Its description in RNAcentral is "snRNA_14358". The record is from RNAcentral. Lineage: Eukaryota; Viridiplantae; Streptophyta; Magnoliopsida; Brassicales; Brassicaceae.
CUUCUGGUGACGCCUCGCUCGCCUGAGA